RNAcentral lists this unclassified non-coding RNA (515 nucleotides) under Hevea brasiliensis (rubber tree). Lineage: Eukaryota; Viridiplantae; Streptophyta; Magnoliopsida; Malpighiales; Euphorbiaceae. The record is from RNAcentral.
CGGGCACACAAAACGGGUCGUUUUUCUCAUCUACUCUGUGCUGGGAUCCCCCGGUGGCGGUUUUUUCUCCCCAGAAACUCAGGAAAGCCGAAAUAGAAGAGUGUCCACGAAGCCGUUGCUGCUGCUUUACAGGCCCCACCGGUUGGGUGAAAGGGGGAUUGAUAGAAGUGAACAAUGCUAAUUCGGCUUAGCAAGCAAUCUUCAGAAAGCGGUGGAGGCGUGGUGAAGCCCUUGCCAGUGGAUACUGUGACAGUUGCAUGCCCUGAACACCUGGUACUUGCUGAUCUCCCUGUAGCAAAGGGCAUGGGAGCAGCUACUGCUGCUACUGUUGUCAAGACUGUUGGUCGCAGGUCCAGACGCCAGCUUGGUGAACGGGUCCAUUUCUGUGUCCGCUGUGAUUUCCCAAUUGCUGUAUAUGGACGCCUGAUCCCCUGCGAGCAUGCCUUCUGCCUCGAUUGUGCCAGGAGUGAUUCAAUCUGCUAUCUUUGUGAUGAACGUAUCCAGAAGAUUCAGAC